AUUGAACGCUGGCGGAAUGCUUUACACAUGCAAGUCGAACGGCAGCACGGACUUCGGUCUGGUGGCGAGUGGCGAACGGGUGAGUAAUGUAUCGGAACGUGCCCAGUCGUGGGGGAUAACGUAAUGAAAAUUACGCUAAUACCGCAUACGAUCUAUGGAUGAAGGCGGGGGAUCGCAAGACCUCGCGCGAUUGGAGCGGCCGAUAUCAGAUUAGGUAGUUGGUGGGGUAAAGGCCCACCAAGCCAACGAUCUGUAGCUGGUCUGAGAGGACGACCAGCCACACUGGAACUGAGACACGGUCCAGACUCCUACGGGAGGCAGCAGUGGGGAAUUUUGGACAAUGGGCGAAAGCCUGAUCCAGCCAUUCCGCGUGCAGGAUGAAGGCCCUCGGGUUGUAAACUGCUUUUGUACAGAACGAAAAGGUUUCUACUAAUACUAGGAGCUCAUGACGGUACUGUAAGAAUAAGCACCGGCUAACUACGUGCCAGCAGCCGCCGUAC
Molecule: ribosomal RNA, 500 nt
Filed under: uncultured bacterium
Lineage: Bacteria
Description: partial 16S ribosomal RNA
Rfam family: Bacterial small subunit ribosomal RNA
Source: RNAcentral